AGAGAUGUGUGAUGACGCAUAUCAAUAAGCGGAGGAAAAGAAACUAACAAGGAUUCCCCUAGUAACGGCGAGUGAAGCGGGAAGAGCUCAAAUUUGAAAUCUUAAAGGGUUUCCCUUUACGAAUUGUAGUUUAAAGAAGUAUUUUCUGUUGGAGUUUCGGUAAAAGUUCUUUGGAAUAGGACAUCAUAGAGGGUGAGAGUCCCGUAUUUGACCGUUACCUUCCAGCUGUGUGAUACACUUUCAAAGAGUCGGAUUGUUUGGGAAUGCAGUCCAAAAUGGGUGGUAAAUUUCAUCUAAAGCUAAAUAUUGGCGAGAGACCGAUAGCGAACAAGUACCGUGAGGGAAAGAUGAAAAGAACUUUGAAAAGAGAGUUAAACAGUACGUGAAAUUGUCAAAAGGGAAGCGUUUGACACCAGUGUUGUUUAGUUCGAAAAUCAAUUACAAUAUUUUUCGAUUUUAAGUAGUUAUGACCUUCAUCAGCUUGCUGCUUUCUUUAUCGGAAACUUAUCUUAAUGCACUUUUCAGUUAACAAGUCAACAUCAAUUUCUUUUGUUGUAAAAGGGUAUGAGGAAGGUGGCUUGGCUUUCGGAUAAAGUGUUUAUAGCCUUGUACCUCUGCAAUCGGAGAGAUUGAGGUCUGCAGCGUAGAUCCUUCGGGGUUAGAUACAUUUGUGCUAAGUUAUAGCUUGUCAUAGACAACUUGUUGACUAUGUUCAGUCAUUGUAGCUUACUCGCUUAUCGCUAUUUUACCUACGCUUAGGAUGUUGAGUAGCGACAUACGCAC
Molecule: ribosomal RNA, 783 nt
Filed under: uncultured Neocallimastigales
Lineage: Eukaryota; Fungi; Neocallimastigomycota; Neocallimastigomycetes; Neocallimastigales
Description: partial large subunit ribosomal RNA
Rfam family: Eukaryotic large subunit ribosomal RNA
Source: RNAcentral